RNAcentral lists this non-coding RNA (131 nucleotides) under Bhargavaea cecembensis. RNAcentral also lists the same sequence under 1 other name. The record is from RNAcentral. Lineage: Bacteria; Bacillati; Bacillota; Bacilli; Caryophanales; Caryophanaceae.
UGUGCCGGAUGACGCUGAGGUGCCCCAACUCGGGGGUAAAAGGGAAGCCGGUGAAAAUCCGGCACGGUCCCGCCACUGUGAGCGGCUUGAAAGCCGCAAGUCAGGAAACCUGCCUCAGCCGAAAACACCCG